This 88-nucleotide transfer RNA is filed under the name Coriobacteriia bacterium. Its description in RNAcentral is "tRNA-Ser". It matches the Rfam family "tRNA". Rfam says of the family: Transfer RNA (tRNA) molecules are approximately 80 nucleotides in length. Their secondary structure includes four short double-helical elements and three loops (D, anti-codon, and T loops). Lineage: Bacteria; Bacillati; Actinomycetota; Coriobacteriia. The record is from RNAcentral. RNAcentral also lists the same sequence under 1 other name.
GGAGGGGUGGCGGAGUGGUUGAUCGCUCCGGUCUUGAAAACCGGCAAGCCGCAAGGCUUCGAGGGUUCGAAUCCCUCCCCCUCCGCCA